This 277-nucleotide ribosomal RNA is filed under the name uncultured bacterium. Its description in RNAcentral is "partial 16S ribosomal RNA". It matches the Rfam family "Bacterial small subunit ribosomal RNA", at positions 28 to 290 of the family's 1533-position model. The record is from RNAcentral.
GACGAACGCUGGCGGCGUGCUUAACACAUGCAAGUCGAACGGAAAGGCCCUUUCGGGGGUACUCGAGUGGCGAACGGGUGAGUAACACGUGGGUGAUCUGCCCUGCACUUCGGGAUAAGCUUGGGAAACUGGGUCUAAUACCGGAUAGGACUAUGGCAUGCAUGUGCUGUGGUGGAAAGUGCGGUGUGUAAAAAGCAUUGUGCGGUGUGGGAUGGGCCCGCGGCCUAUCAGCUUGUUGGUGGGGUGAUGGCCUACCAAGGCGACGACGGGUAGCCGG